This 527-nucleotide ribosomal RNA is filed under the name uncultured Glomeromycotina. RNAcentral describes it as "SSU rRNA". It matches the Rfam family "Eukaryotic small subunit ribosomal RNA", at positions 571 to 1098 of the family's 1831-position model. The record is from RNAcentral. Lineage: Eukaryota; Fungi; Glomeromycota.
CAGCCGCGGUAAUUCCAGCUCCAAUAGCGUAUAUUAAAGUUGUUGCAGUUAAAAAGCUCGUAGUUGAAUUUCGGGAUUAGUAGUCUGGUCGUGCCACUGGUAUGUACUGGUCUUACUGAUUUCUCCUUCCUGAAGAACUGUAAUGUCAUUAAUUUGGUGUUGCGGGGAAUCUGGACUGUUACUUUGAAAAAAUUAGAGUGUUUAAAGCAGGCUAACGCUUGAAUACAUUAGCAUGGAAUAAUGAAAUAGGACGAUCGAUCCUAUUUUUGUUGGUUUCUAGGAUUGACGUAAUGAUUAAUAGGGAUAGUUGGGGGCAUUAGUAUUCAAUUGUCAGAGGUGAAAUUCUUGGAUUUAUUGAAGACUAACUACUGCGAAAGCAUUUUGCCAAGGAUGUUUCAUUAAUCAAGAACGAAAGUUAGGGGAUCGAAGACGAUCAGAUACCGUCGUAGUCUUAACCAUAAACUAUGCCGACUAGGGAUCGGAUGAUGUUAAUUUUAUAAUGACUCAUUCGGCGCCUUACGGGAAAC